AGAUUGAACAUAAGAGUUUGAUCCUGGCUCAGAUUGAACGCUGGCGGCAUGCUUUACACAUGCAAGUCGGACGGCAGCACAGGGAAGCUUGCUUCUCGGGUGGCGAGUGGCGAACGGGUGAGUAACAUAUCGGAACGUACCGGGUAGCGGGGGAUAAC
Molecule: ribosomal RNA, 158 nt
Filed under: Neisseria gonorrhoeae
Lineage: Bacteria; Pseudomonadati; Pseudomonadota; Betaproteobacteria; Neisseriales; Neisseriaceae
Description: partial 16S ribosomal RNA
Rfam family: Bacterial small subunit ribosomal RNA
Source: RNAcentral